This 6463-nucleotide long non-coding RNA is filed under the name Homo sapiens (human). Its description in RNAcentral is "HSALNT0264915". Lineage: Eukaryota; Metazoa; Chordata; Mammalia; Primates; Hominidae. The record is from RNAcentral.
UGUCACAGUCUUGGCUCACUCCAACCCCUGCCUCCCAGUUUCAAGCGAUUCUCUUGCCUCAGCCUCCCAAGUAGCUGGGAUUACAGGUACACACCACCAUGCCCGGCUAAUUUUUUUGUAUGAGAACACUUUUUUGUACUAUUUUGGAAAGAACCACUAGAUGUACUAUUAAAAGAAAAAUGCAUAUACACCUACUAUGUACCCACAACACUUAAAAUUUAAAAUUAAAAAAAAGAAAAAUGCAAAGUUCCAAACAGUAUGUAUAAUAUGCUAUCUGCUAAUUAAAAUGCUAAAAGAAGAAGAAACAGUGGACAGCAAGAAUACACACAUUCAUGUUUGCUUAUAUAUGGGUAAAGAAACUCAGGAAAGUUACAGGAGGAGCUAAUAACAGUGGUUAAUUACAAUGGUAGAGGAGAGGCUUGGCAGAUAAGGGACUCGUUUGCAGAUAUGACUUUCCUUUGUGUACAUUUCUAUAUAUUAUUUUACUUCUUCUGAAAAUGCCACAUAAUUUGCAAUAAAUGAUUCACUCCUUAGCUCCAAAAGCAAGUCCUUUAUCAAAAUGCAAAUGUUCCAGAGGGAUGUAGCCAGAUUCUGUGGACCGCCGUCUUUUUCACCCUUAAGAAUCCGUCGCUAUGAUUUCUCUUCCUCUGCUUGGAGACCUUUAGAGAGCCAGCCUGCAGCUGCUCAGAGCAUUGACUACUAAACAGCUCACAGUUGCUAUUGCUGAAAAUGCCCGGUGGUUAUGCCUUGCCUGACCAGGGGUAGCCCACAGCUGAUGACAGGCCCCCUUGCCUCAAGGUGGGACAACUUCGGUGGUGCCAUUCAUAUCCAGAGCUGCCUGGAAUCAGGCCGAGGCUGGACAUCAGCCGACCCCGCAUCUUUGCUGAGUUUAUUCCUCUGCUGUACUUCCCUCGCUUCCCUCACCUCCUUCUUGGUUUCUCCUGAGAGCCUCCCUCAAUAAAUCACUUACCCCAGAAUCCUUGUCUCAGACUCCGCUUCUAGGACCCAACUUAAGACAUUCACAAAAUAAAUCACAUUGAUGGAAAACAGAUCCCAUUCUCCAAAAUGAAUAACCAGUAGGCACUUGUGACUAGCACAAGCAUCAGCAUAUCCACAUGGUGCUAAACUAACACCAACCCAAAGCAGAUAGUGCUGGGUGGACUCGGUACAAGUUAAUAGCUCAUGGGUCUCCAUCCCCAACACCUUCAGACCCAAGGCUCCAGGGCUGCCAGCCUGAGAACCCUAAGUCAUGAUUUUGGGCACUUUGGCUGGAUUUCCUAGCAACUGGCUGAGAGCAGGACAGGUAAACAGAGUUGGGAGGAGGAAGCAAAAAAGGCUAGAGUGGACAUCAGUUGACUUUGCCUGCCAUGGUAGAGACUUUCAGUCAUCCACCAUAAUCCAUCCCCAUUCUGCUGCACAGAAGUAUUGUGGCUGAGACACCUGCUUUUCUCCACCCCUCUAGUUAAUGUGACUAAAUUCUCCCUAUGGAAUGGGAAUGGAAGGGCCAUACCCAGGCCAGUGUCUUCAGGUAGGGGCUGUGACCCUUCCACACCUGUACCAGACACAAUCAUCAUCUCACUGGGUUUUGCCAGCUUUCAGGUCUAUGUGCUGAAAGCUGCUUACAGCUAACCUCUGCAGAUUUUCCUGGCACAGGAGGCAUGCUUGGCCAGUGCACAGGGCAAGUUGGAAGGGCCCUAAUGUCAGCAGCCUUCAACCAAUGAUGGAUGGAAAGUUGCAGACAGUGUCCUAUGCAUCUGCAGUGGGAUAACUCUGAGACGUGUGCUGUACUGCCUCCUAGAGGGCCCAGGGUGAUUAAGCACCAGUUACCCACAGCAGUAACUUCCUUGAUUCUGUUCCCCACAUGGGCACUUUUCUUCCUGUCACACCUCCCCAAUCCCCUGCAGAUACUUUCUGGGAUUGCUUCCUAAACAAUCCACUUGAACUUUUUUUUUUUUUCUUUUUUUUGACAUGGAGUAUUGCUCUUGUUGCCCAGGUUGGAGUGCAAUGGCACGAUCUUGGCUCACUGCAACUUCCGCUUCCUGGGUUCAAGCAAUUCUCCUGCCUCAGCCUCCUGAGUAGCUGGGAUUACAGGCGCCUGCCAUCACGCCUGGCUAAUUUUUGUAUUUUCAGUAGAGACGGGGUUUCGCCAUGUUGGCCACGCUGGUCUCAAACUCCUGACCUCGUGAUCUGCCCGCCUCGGCCUCCCAAAGUGCUGGGAUUACCGGCGUGAGCCACCGUGCCCAGCCCCACUUGAACUUUAAUCCUUGCCUCGGAAUUGGCUUCUGGGGAAACCAAAAAUAUAUUAAAAAAAGAGAGACCAGGACCUUAAAAAGAGCCCAAGUUGUUGAGCUCCCUGCCAAGUCACCCCCAGGUAUCUCUGCCCACCAGCUUGCAUGAGCCAGAUCCUCAGUGCAGGUUUUUCCAAUCAGUCAUUUGUUCUUCCACCCAACGCUCAAGAUUUGCUUCUUCAAGACAACUCUCUGAUCAGCUGAGACCCAUAGACACCCAGCUUCUACCACACAUAUGAUGGCAUUAUCCUAGGGCAUGGCAGAGCAACGCAAGGGAAAACUCUGGGCCCCCAAGUGAUGUCAUGGAGGAGAACUCUCAACCCAGAACUACUACGUGAGAAACAACGCUCUCUCUUCUUUAAGCCAUAGGUGUGUUGGGAAUCUUUGUUACAGCAGCACGCCUGAUCUUUUGUUUUGUUUUGUUUUGUUUUAGAGAUGGAGUCUUGCUCUUUCGCCAGGCUGGAGUGCAGUGGUGCGAUCUUGGCUCACCAUGUUGGUCAGGCUGGUUUCAAAUCCCUGACCUCAAGUGAUCCUCCCACCUUGGCCUCCCAAAGUGCUGGGAUUACAGGUGUGAGCCACCGCACCCGGCCCAGCCAUGCCUUGUCUUAACUAGCAUAGCCGCCCAACGUCCACUUCUUUUGGCCAUGUUGUCCUGAUUCUGCUGGAGAAUCCCUUUCCCACUGCUCCCAGACCAGUGGUGUAGCUGACCUGCGCUCUCUCCACUCAAUUCAGGGGAGGGAGGGGUUUAGGCCUGGGCUAAGAGAGCUGCACAUUUCCCAGGGCACAGUGAUUAGUUGAGGGUGGGUCCCAGAGCCAAAUCUGCCCAAGAUCUUAGCCUGAAAGAGAAACCCUCCUGCUGAGUGACUGCACUGUGAGGCAGAAGUCCAGAGCUGUGGGUGGCCAUCCAGCCUCCAUUUGCGCCUGCCUGAGAAAGAAGCCACCAUGGGGGAAAUCGAGCUAAAAGACGGAGAGGGAGGUAAGAGAGGAUGACAUCACAUAAGCACCAGAUCUGGCCACCCCUGAAACUGGAACAACCCUAAGCUUUACAGCUACUACAUUCCCUUUUCUGCUGAAGUUGUUUUACACUGGGUUUCUGUCUCUUGCAACCAAGAGCUCUGUUAAAUAAAAACCUGACCCUAAGGAGAACGUUAGCUGGUUCACAAUUCCCUGUGCAAAACAGGCACAGGUCAGCUGCCCCAGCCUGUCGUUUGGAUAUUCCUUUCUAAGAACGCUCACUUUUGUUGUCUACAUGACCCAGAUAACCAAGGAGAAAGCAAAUCAACCGCCUUCCAGCGGCGCCUUCCUUGGCAGCAAGUGCUAAGAGAGAACACAAUGUGAGUACUCUGCCCUCUGGAGUCAGGGUUGAUCCUCAGCACUUGCUGUCCUGGGAGGCUGCACCUGUGACACUUGAGUGCCAGGUUCAACCCCUACUGCUGCUGCUGCUGCCUGAAUGGGGCCAUUUAGACUGUUGAGUGCUACAGCCUCAGCCCAGGAACCCGGAGCUUCACAUGAGGCAGAGCAGGGCCCCAGGGUCCCUGAAACUUGCCAGUUCAAACAGCAGAGGGGUGAGGACUCCCCAGUCAGCCCUGGUCUCAUACCUGCCUCUGCAUGGUCCCAGUCCAGCCUGAGGCCUUUGCUUUCUUUUUUGAAGGGAAGGUGAGGAGAGAGGGGGAAAAUAGAGGUGUUCUGACUAGACUUAGGAUUCCUGGCCUCUGCCUCUGACCGCCAGAGGACAGCCUCUGCAGUUGCCUCAUCUACUCAUGAAAACAGGCCUGUGACCCCAGGGGUGCUCUGAGGAUUCUUCCAGAAAACAUCUGCCCAGCUAGGACUACCUAGCUCACUGCCCAAAAAGGGUUCAUUUCCUUUCCUUCUGAAACAAAAGCGCUUAAUUGGAAGAGAAGCAUUGACUCAAGCUAUAGGAUAUGCCACUUAAAAUGUCCAGAUCUUGGCACAAGGCCUGGCGCACAGUGUGGGAGAGAAGGAGAGAAGAAGGUGGAAGGAAAGGAGGGAGGGGAAAGAGGAAGCAGGGAGGGAGAAAAUAAGACAAGGGCCUCCUCAUCUGGAUGCUUCCCUAGACCAAGAAGUGGCCCAGGUGGUGCCCAGGGGACAGGGAGUGGGCAAUAAAAGACAAUGGGGUGUAGGUGAUAGGGUGUAGAUGAUCAGGGUAUAGGUGAUCAGGAUGUAGGUGAUGGGGUGUAGAUGACUGGGGUAUAGAUGAUUGAAGUGUAGGUGAUGGGGUAUAGAUGAUCGAGGUGUAGGUGAUGGGGUAUAGAUGAUUGAGGUGUAGGUGAUGGGGUGUAGGUGAUGGGGGUCAAGGUGAUCAAGGUGUAGGUGAUGGGGUGUUGGUGAUUGGGGUGUAGGUGAUCAGGGUGUAAGUGAUGGGGUAUAGGUGGUGGGGUGUAGAUGAUCGGGGUGUAGGUGAUGGGUAUAGGUGAUGGGGUAUAGAUGAUCAGGUUGUAGGUGAUCGGGGUAUAGGUGAUCAGGUUGUAGGUGAUGGGGUGUAGAUGAUUGGGAUAUAGAUGAUCGAGAUGUAGGUGAUGGGGUAUAGAUGAUCAAGGUGUAGGUGAUGGGGUAUAGAUGAUUGAGGUGUAGAUGAUCAGGGUGUAGGUGAUUGGGGUAUAGGUGAGCAGGGUGUAAGUGAAGGGGUAUAGGUGGUGGGGUAUAGAUGAUCAGGUGUAGGUGACUGGGGUUUGGGUGAUGGGGUGUAGGUGAUGGGGUAUAGAUGAUUGAGGUAUCGGUGAUGGGGGUCAAGGUGAUCAAGGUGUAGGUGAUGGGGUGUUGGUGAUUGGGGUGUAGGUGAUCAGGGUGUAAGUGAUGAGGUAUAGGUGAUGCAGUGUAGGUGAUCAGGGUAUAGGUGAUGAGGUGUAGGUGAUGGAGUGUAGAUGAUUGAGGUGUAGGUGAUGGGGUAUAGGUGAUUGGGGUGUAGGCAAUGGGGUGUAGGUGAUCGGGGUCAAGGUGAUAGAGGUGUAGGUGAUGGGGUGUUGGUGAUUGGGGUGUAGGUGAUCAGGGUGUAGGUGAUGGGGUAUAGGUGAUUGGGGUGUAGGUGAUCAGGGUGUAGGUGAUUGGGGUGUAGGUGAUCGGGGUGUAGGUGACCAGGGUAUAGGUGAUCAGGGUGUAGGUGAUCAGGAUGUAGGUGAUGGGGUGUAGACGAUCAGGGUGUAGGUGAUGGGCUGUUGCUGACCAGGGUGUAGGUGAUCAGGGUGUAGGUGAUCCGAACUUCCUACUCAAUUCAGGCAACAGCUCCCAGCCUGAGGCAAAUACCCCCCGAGGCAGUCAGGGUCUCACCUCCCAUGGCUCUGACGCAGGCCUCCAAGGUGAGGAGAUGGAGGUAGCAGAGGUCACUUCACUCAGCUGUCACACACCCUGAGGGAACUCCUGUCACUGUUAUCCCACCUGCAAGUGAGGAGCCAGCAUUUCUCAUGCUCCAGGGUUGGCCACAGAGCCCAUUCAAGGGAGGGAGAAGAGCCUUCGGCCAGCGCAUCCUAACCGCAGAAAGCCAAGACCUCUGCAGAAAAAGAGACCAGGCCCAUAAAAAGAGAUCCAUGAGUUGAGUUCCCUGCCAUGCCACCCCCAGGCAUCUCUGCCCACCAGCCUGCAUGAGCCAGCCCCUCAGUGCAGGUUUUUCCAAUUGGCCGUUUGUUCUUCCACCCAACACUCAAGAUUUGCUUCUCAGCCUGGACAACAUAGCAAAACCCCAUCUCUACAAAAAAUACAAAAAUUAGCUGGGCAUAGUGGCACACACCUAUAGUCCCAGCUACUCGGGAGGCUGAAGUGGGAAGAUUACCUGAGCCUGGGAGGUCAAGGUUGCAGUGAGCCAUGAUCAUGCCACUGUACUCCAGCCUGGGUGACAGAGUGAGAACUUGUCUCAAAAACAAAAAAAGAGAGGAAGAUCUGCUUCUUCAAACCCACACAACUAAUAUAAAGUAAUCAACCUCCCCACCUCAAUAACCUGAAGUUAAACAUCACACAAUAAGCCCUGAACAGAGAGCUGUAGGUCAAUGUUCCAUUUUGCUUUUAAAAGCUUCACAAGAACAUUUCAUUUAUUAAAAUAGUUUCUGUAAACUCUUUCAGAAUAACAAAAUUCACUUGCCUUGCUUAAACAGCAUUUCAAGUAGAAGUAUUUUUAUUUCAAGGCACCAUAAAAUGAUGAUCUCUCUAAGAAAUACCUCUCCUUC